AACACUGUUAACCUGCGGUACCUGCGGAGGGAUCAUUACCGAGUUUACAACUCCCAAACCCCUGUGAACAUACCUAUACGUUGCCUCGGCGGAUCAGCCCGCGCCCUGUAAAAAGGGACGGCCCGCCCGAGGACCCUAAACUCUGUUUUUAGUGGAACUUCUGAGUAAAACAAACAAAUAAAUCAAAACUUUCAGCAACGGAUCU
Molecule: unclassified non-coding RNA, 205 nt
Filed under: soil metagenome
Description: partial contains 5.8S ribosomal RNA, internal transcribed spacer 2, and large subunit ribosomal RNA
Source: RNAcentral